This 217-nucleotide unclassified non-coding RNA is filed under the name Hevea brasiliensis (rubber tree). The record is from RNAcentral. Lineage: Eukaryota; Viridiplantae; Streptophyta; Magnoliopsida; Malpighiales; Euphorbiaceae.
GCACCGGAGAAAUAUAUAAAGACGGACGUGAGCAAUGAUGGAAUUGCAGGUUCAUUUACAGGCAUCUUGGAGCUCAACUCUCAAGGGAAAUAAAACACCAUGGCCACCCAUUAUUCUUGGGUCAUAGCCGGGAAUUCUUUAAUAUGCCCAAAAGGCCGGGUCGCUUUAUAACCAUGGAGGUCUGCCCUCAAGCCCAAUUAGUCACAACUUAGAAACU